CGGUUUUCUAGAAAAUUAAUAGGGAAUUCGUGGCGACAAACCUGUAGCUAAGCGAAACUGCCCCCGCAACUGUAUGCGAUACGCCGCAUUUCGAGAUCCACUGGGCUGAAGGGCCUGGGAAGGUGAAAUGAGGCUUAAGUCGUUAGUCAGGAGACCUGCCGACAU
Molecule: non-coding RNA, 165 nt
Filed under: uncultured Pseudophaeobacter sp.
Lineage: Bacteria; Pseudomonadati; Pseudomonadota; Alphaproteobacteria; Rhodobacterales; Roseobacteraceae
Source: RNAcentral